UCGAGCGCAGGAAACAGAUGACCCCUUCGGGGUGAUUCUGGUGGAAUGAGCGGCGGACGGGUGAGUAACACGUGGGCAACCUGCCUGUAAGACUGGGAUAACUUCGGGAAACCGGAGCUAAUACCGGAUAGUAUUUCCUUUCUCCUGAUUGGAAAUGGAAAGACGGUUUCGGCUGUCACUUACAGAUGGGCCCGCGGUGCAUUAGCUAGUUGGUGGGGUAAUGGCCCACCAAGGCGACGAUGCAUAGCCGACCUGAGAGGGUGAUCGGCCACACUGGGACUGAGACACGGCCCAGACUCCUACGGGAGGCAGCAGUAGGGAAUCUUCCGCAAUGGACGAAAGUCUGACGGAGCAACGCCGCGUGAGCGAUGAAGGCCUUCGGGUCGUAAAGCUCUGUUGUUAGGGAAGAACAAGUACGAGAGUAACUGCUCGUACCUUGACGGUACCUAACCAGAAAGCCCCGGCUAACUACGUGCCAGCAGCCGCGGUAAUACGUAGGGGGCAAGCGUUGUCCGGAAUUAUUGGGCGUAAAGGGCUCGUAGGCGGUUUCUUAAGUCUGAUGUGAAAGCCCACAGCUCAACUGUGGAGGGUCAUUGGAAACUGGGGAACUUGAGUGCAGAAGAGGAGAGUGGAAUUCCACGUGUAGCGGUGAAAUGCGUAGAUAUGUGGAGGAACACCAGUGGCGAAGGCGACUCUCUGGUCUGUAACUGACGCUGAGGAGCGAAAGCGUGGGGAGCAAACAGGAUUAGAUACCCUGGUAGUCCACGCCGUAAACGAUGAGUGCUAGGUGUUUAGGGGGGUUUCCGCCCCUUAGUGCUGAAGUUAACGCAUUAAGCACUCCGCCCUGGGGGAGUACGGCCGCAAGGCUGAAACUCAAAAGAAUUGACGGGGGCCCGCACAAGCGGUGGAGCCAUGGUGGUUUAAUUCGAAGCAACGCGAAGAACCUUACCAGGUCUUGACAUCCGCUGACAAUCUUGGAAGACAAGACGUUCCCUUCGGGGACAGCGUGACAGGUGGGUGCAUGGUUGUCGUCAGCUCGUGUCGUGAAGAUGUUGGGGUUAAGUCCCGCAACGAGCGCAACCCUUUGAUUCUAGUUGCCAGCAUUAAGUUGGGCACUCUAAAAGUGACUGCCGGUGACAAACCGGAAGGAAAGGUGGGGGAUGACGUCAAAUCAUCAUGGCCCUUAAUGA
RNAcentral lists this ribosomal RNA (1190 nucleotides) under Terribacillus saccharophilus. RNAcentral describes it as "bacterial SSU rRNA". It matches the Rfam family "Bacterial small subunit ribosomal RNA", at positions 62 to 1207 of the family's 1533-position model. The record is from RNAcentral. Lineage: Bacteria; Bacillati; Bacillota; Bacilli; Caryophanales; Bacillaceae.